RNAcentral lists this ribosomal RNA (468 nucleotides) under uncultured bacterium. RNAcentral describes it as "partial 16S ribosomal RNA". It matches the Rfam family "Bacterial small subunit ribosomal RNA", at positions 28 to 507 of the family's 1533-position model. The record is from RNAcentral.
GACGAACGCUGGCGGCGUGCUUAACACAUGCAAGUCGAACGGAAAGGCCCUGCUUUUGUGGGGUGCUCGAGUGGCGAACGGGUGAGUAACAUGUGAGUAACCUGCCCUUGACUUUGGGAUAACUUCAGGAAACUGGGGCUAAUACCGGAUAGGAGCUCCUGCUGCAUGGUGGGGGUUGGAAAGUUUCGACGGUUGGGGAUGGACUCGCGGCUUAUCAGCUUGUUGGUGGGGUAGUGGCUUACCAAGGCUUUGACGGGUAGCCGGCCUGAGAGGGUGACCGGCCACAUUGGGACUGAGAUACGGCCCAGACUCCUACGGGAGGCAGCAGUGGGGAAUAUUGCACAAUGGGCGGAAGCCUGAUGCAGCAACGCCGCGUGCGGGAUGACGGCCUUCGGGUUGUAAACCGCUUUCGCCUGUGACGAAGCGUGAGUGACGGUAAUGGGUAAAGAAGCACCGGCUAACUACGUG